AGUGGGUUCUAAGUUCUGCCGAAAGAAUGAAUUUUCGAGUGAAACACAAAUGCCUAACUAUAUGAACAAAGCGAAUAUAAUACACUUGAAUAAUUUUGAACGAAAGGGAAUACGGUUCCAAUUCCGUAACCUGUUGAGUAUCCUGUUUGUUAUUAAAUAUGGGCCUCGUGCUCAUCCUGGCAACAGGAACGACCAUAAAGAAGCCGUCGAGAGAUAUCGGAAGAGUUUUCUUUUCUGUUUUAUAGCCGUACUACCAUGGAAGUCUUUCGCAGAGAGAUAUGGUAGAUGGGCUAGAAGAGCAUGACAUAUACUGUUGUGUCGAUAUUUUCUCCUCGGACCUUGAAAAUUUAUGGUGGGGACACGCAAACUUCUCAACAGGCCGUACCAAUAUCCGCAGCUGGUCUCCAAGGUGAAGAGUCUCUAGUCGAUAGAAUAAUGUAGGUAAGGGAAGUCGGCAAAUUAGAUCCGUAACUUCGGGAUAAGGAUUGGCUCUGAAGAUUGAGAUAGUCGGGCUUGAUUGGGAAACAAUAACAUGGUUUAUGUGCUCGUUCUGGGUAAAUAGAGUUUCUAGCAUUUAUGUUAGUUACUUGUUCCCCGGAUAGUUUAGUUACGUAGCCAAUUGUGGAACUUUCUUGCUAAAAUUUUUAAGAAUACUAUUUGGGUUAAACCAAUUAGUUCUUAUCAAUUAUAACGAUUAUCAAUUUAACAAUCAAUUCAGAACUGGCACGGGACUUGGGGAAUCCGACUGUCUAAUUAAAACAAAGCAUUGUGAUGGCCCUAGCGGGGUGUUGACACAAUGUGAUUUCUGCCCAGUGCUCUGAAUGUCAAAGUGAAGAAAUUCAAGUAAGCGCGGGUCAACGGCGGGAGGUAACUAUGACUCUCUCUUAGAGGUAGCCCAAUUGCCUGUCAUUCUAAUUAGUGACCGGCGCAUGAAUGGAUUAACGAGAUUCCUACUGUCCCUAUCUACUAUCUAGCGAAACCACAGCCAAGGGAACGGGCUUGGAAUAAUUAGCGGGGAAAGAAGACCCUUUUGAGCUUGACUCUAAUCUGGCAGUGUAAGGAGACAUAAGAGGUGUAGAAUAAGUGGGAGAUAUUAGACCUCGGUUUGGUAUCGUCAAUGAAAUACCACUACUCUUAUUGUUUCCUUACUUACUUGAUUAAAUGGAACGUGUAUCAUUUCCUAGCCAUUAUACGGAUAUAUUUAUUAUAUCUUAUGGUAUUGGGUUUUGAUGCAAGCUUCUUGAUCAAAGUAUCACGAGUUUGUUAUAUAAUCGCAAACAAAUUCUUUAAUAAAACGAUGCAUUUAUGUAUUUUUGAUUUGAAAAUUUGGUAUAACUCCAAUUACUCAGGUAUGAUCCAAUUCAAGGACAUUGCCAGGUAGGGAGUUUGACUGGGGCGGUACAUCUCUCAAAUAAUAACGGAGGUGUCCCAAGGCCAGCUCAGUGCGGACAGAAACCACACAUAGAGCAAAAGGGCAAAUGCUGACUUGAUCUCGGUGUUCAGUACACACAGGGACAGCAAAAGCUCGCCCUAUCGAUCCUUUUGGUUUAAAGAGUUUUUAACAAGAGGUGUCAGAAAAGUUACCAUAGGGAUAACUGGCUUGUGGCGGCCAAGCGUUCAUAGCGACGUCGCUUUUUGAUCCUUCGAUGUCGGCUCUUCCUAUCAUUGUGAAGCAAAAUUCACCAAGCGUUGGAUUGUUCACCCAUGCAAGGGAACGUGAGCUGGGUUUAGACCGUCGUGAGACAGGUUAGUUUUACCCUACUAAUGACAAAACGUUGUUGCGACAGCAUUCCUGCGUAGUACGAGAGGAACCGCAGGUACGGACCAAUGGCACAAUACUUGUUCGAGCGAACAGUGGUAUGACGCUACGUCCGUUGGAUUAUGCCUGAACGCCUCUAAGGUCGUAUCCGUGCUGGACUGCAAUGAUAAAUAAGGGGCAAUUUGCAUUGU
This 1950-nucleotide ribosomal RNA is filed under the name Drosophila sechellia. Its description in RNAcentral is "eukaryotic LSU rRNA". It matches the Rfam family "Eukaryotic large subunit ribosomal RNA", at positions 1534 to 3185 of the family's 3401-position model. Lineage: Eukaryota; Metazoa; Arthropoda; Insecta; Diptera; Drosophilidae. The record is from RNAcentral.